GCUACCAUGCAAGUCGAGCGGAGAUUGGAGCUUGCUCCAUGAUUCAGCGGCGGACGGGUGUAGUAAUGCCUAGGAAUCUGCCUGGUAGUGGGGGACAACGUUUCGAAAGGAACGCUAAUACCGCAUACGUCCUACGGGAGAAAGCAGGGGACCUUCGGGCCUUGCGCUAUCAGAUGAGCCUAGGUCGGAUUAGCUAGUAGGUGAGGUAAUGGCUCACCUAGGCGACGAUCCGUAACUGGUCUGAGAGGAUGAUCAGUCACACUGGAACUGAGACACGGUCCAGACUCCUACGGGAGGCAGCAGUGGGGAAUAUUGGACAUGGGGCAAAACCUGAUCCACCCUUGCGCGGUGUGAAGAAGGUCUUCGGAUUGUAAGCCUUUAAGUUGGGAGAAGGGCCAUA
This 400-nucleotide ribosomal RNA is filed under the name Aquipseudomonas alcaligenes. RNAcentral's name for it is "bacterial SSU rRNA". It matches the Rfam family "Bacterial small subunit ribosomal RNA", at positions 48 to 456 of the family's 1533-position model. Lineage: Bacteria; Pseudomonadati; Pseudomonadota; Gammaproteobacteria; Pseudomonadales; Pseudomonadaceae. The record is from RNAcentral.